AAUAUUGGACAAUGGGCGAAAGCCUGAUCCAGCCAUGCCGCGGGAGGGAAGAAGGACUACGGUGUGUAAAGCACUUUUAGUUGGGAGGAAGGUCACGAAGUUAAUACCUUGCUGAUUUGACGUUACCGACAGAAUAAGAAACGGAUAACUUCGUGCCAGCAGCCGCGGUAAGACGAAGGGUGCAAGCGUUAAACGGAAUUAAUAGGCGUAAGGCUCGCGUAGGUGGUUUGUUAAGUUGGAAGUGAAAGCCCCGGGCUCAACCUGGUAACUGCUUUCAAAACUGGCAAGCUAGAGUAUGGCAGAGGGUGGUGGAAUUUCCUGUGUAGCGGUGAAAUGCGCAGAUAUAGGAAGGAACACCAGUGGCGAAGGCGACCACCUGGGCUAAUACUGACACUGAGGUGCGAAAGCGUGGGGAGCAAAC
RNAcentral lists this ribosomal RNA (421 nucleotides) under uncultured bacterium. Its description in RNAcentral is "partial 16S ribosomal RNA". It matches the Rfam family "Bacterial small subunit ribosomal RNA", at positions 360 to 773 of the family's 1533-position model. The record is from RNAcentral.